GCGGGGGUAGCCAAGCGGUCAAAGGCGCUGGCCUAAGGAGCCAGUCUCUUAGUGAGUUCGCAGGUUCGAAUCCUGCCUCCCGCA
This 84-nucleotide transfer RNA is filed under the name Candidatus Aenigmatarchaeota archaeon. Its description in RNAcentral is "tRNA-Leu". It matches the Rfam family "tRNA". Rfam says of the family: Transfer RNA (tRNA) molecules are approximately 80 nucleotides in length. Their secondary structure includes four short double-helical elements and three loops (D, anti-codon, and T loops). The record is from RNAcentral. Lineage: Archaea; Nanobdellati; Candidatus Aenigmatarchaeota.